Molecule: microRNA precursor, 100 nt
Filed under: Manduca sexta (tobacco hornworm)
Lineage: Eukaryota; Metazoa; Arthropoda; Insecta; Lepidoptera; Sphingidae
Description: microRNA mse-mir-190 precursor
Gene: mse-mir-190
Rfam family: mir-190 microRNA precursor family (bases 19-95)
Source: miRBase by way of RNAcentral
UGCGAAGAAAAGCCGUUAGUGUCGAUGAGAUAUGUUUGAUAUUCUUGGUUGUUUUUUAGUAUCACCCAGGAAUCAAACAUAUUACCCAUCGACCGCGGCA